Daphnia pulicaria is the source of this 407-nucleotide long non-coding RNA. RefSeq lists it as uncharacterized. The record is from RefSeq and is a predicted model, not a curated record. NCBI's taxonomy places the organism in Eukaryota, Metazoa, Arthropoda, Branchiopoda, Diplostraca, Daphniidae. The transcript has 3 exons.
CGACGGUACAGUCACUGUUUUUCUCUAAGUAUACCAUCACUGUGUGCCUUUUGAUAACGUGUAACGUGUUAUGGGCCCAGGUUCACGCAUCGACUGAUUAGAAAGAUGGCAAACAACGUAAGUGAAAAUCAUCUCAAAGAUGUCAGCCAUGUCCCUAAGUUUGAUGGAAGCAACUUUCGUGAGUGGAGCUACGAACUUCGCAUGAUUCUUCAACAACUAGGUUUACUUUCAAUCAUGGAAGCAAGAGUUGGACACACAAUCCCCACAGAGAUAACUAAUGACAGAGGGCAAGUUACCAACACCGCCCAAAUUGAAGCAUGGAAUCUGAAAGAUGUCACGUCCAGAAACUACAUCUUUGCCACACUCACUAAACCAAUGAAGGAGAGUCUUUAUUCGUGUAACACUGC